UACGUAGGGUGCAGGCGUUAAUCGGAAUUACUGGGCGUAAAGCGUGCGCAGGCGGUUUUGUAAGUCUGUUGUGAAAUCCCCGGGCUCAACCUGGGAAUGGCAAUGGAGACUGCAAGGCUAGAGUUUGGCAGAGGGGGGUAGAAUUCCACGUGUAGCAGUGAAAUGCGUAGAUAUGUGGAGGAACACCGAUGGCGAAGGCAGCCCCCUGGGUCAAAACUGACGCUCAUGCACGAAAGCGUGGGGAGCAAACAGG
Molecule: ribosomal RNA, 253 nt
Filed under: uncultured bacterium
Lineage: Bacteria
Description: partial 16S ribosomal RNA
Rfam family: Bacterial small subunit ribosomal RNA
Source: RNAcentral